RNAcentral lists this transfer RNA (66 nucleotides) under Marmota monax (woodchuck). RNAcentral describes it as "tRNA.Undet". It matches the Rfam family "tRNA". Rfam says of the family: Transfer RNA (tRNA) molecules are approximately 80 nucleotides in length. Lineage: Eukaryota; Metazoa; Chordata; Mammalia; Rodentia; Sciuridae. The record is from RNAcentral.
GGGGUUGUGGCUCAGUGGUAGAGUGCCUGUAGGCAUGAGGCCCUGGGUUCAAUCCCCAGCACCACA